This 253-nucleotide ribosomal RNA is filed under the name uncultured bacterium. Its description in RNAcentral is "partial 16S ribosomal RNA". It matches the Rfam family "Bacterial small subunit ribosomal RNA", at positions 524 to 776 of the family's 1533-position model. The record is from RNAcentral.
UACGUAUGGAGCAAGCGUUAUCCGUAUUUACUGGGUGUAAAGGGUGCGUAGGCGGCACAGCAAGUCAGAUGUGAAAGACCGGGGCUCAACCCCGGGGCUGCAUUUGAAACUGCCGAGCUUGAGUCCGGGAGAGGCAGGCGGAAUUCCUAGUGUAGCGGUGAAAUGCGUAGAUAUUAGGAGGAACACCAGUGGCGAAGGCGGCCUGCUGGACCGGAACUGACGCUGAGGCACGAAAGCGUGGGGAGCAAACAGG